Solanum dulcamara is the source of this 1054-nucleotide RNA transcript. It is a transcript of the gene named serine/arginine-rich splicing factor RS2Z33-like, with no coding region annotated. The record is from RefSeq and is a predicted model, not a curated record. Lineage: Eukaryota; Viridiplantae; Streptophyta; Magnoliopsida; Solanales; Solanaceae. The transcript is spliced from 5 exons.
GCAACCAUUUCCGCAGAGUACGGGAUGUGGACAUGAAGCACGACUAUGCCUUCGUAGAAUUUAGUGAUCCUCGAGAUGCUGAUGAUGCAAGAUACUAUUUAGACGGCCGUGACAUUGAUGGACGCCGCAUAAUUGUGGAAUUUGCCAAGGGAGUGCCACGUGGACCAGGCGGUUCGCGUGAGUAUCUUGGAAAAGGACCUGCUCCUGGGUCGGGCCGCUGCUUCAACUGUGGCCUUGAAGGUCACUGGGCUCGAGAUUGCAAAGCUGGGGAUUGGAAGAACAAGUGUUAUCGAUGUGGAGAAAGAGGUCAUAUAGAAAGGAAAUGCCCAAAUAGUCCUAAAAAACUCAGUAGACGUGAUCGCAGCUAUUUACGGUCACCUGUUAGGUCACGGUCACGCUCACGUUCACGUUCUCCUCGUCGAAGUUAUAGCAGAAGUCGCAGCUAUAGGUGAGUUUUGACACGUAUCCCCCCGCCAAAGAGAGAACAAGUCGACCAGGUGAAGCGAUCAAGAAGCUACAGUAGGAGCCCGGAGCCAAGGAAGACUAGUCCAAGUCCUCCACCCAAGAGUAGGAAGUGCAGCCCAGCACCCGAAGAGGGAAGCCCGAUGGAAGUAAAGAGCCCUCCUUCACCAACCAGAGAGGAAGGUGCCUAUAGCCAAAGCCCCAGAGAGAGAAGUGGAAGUCCUUCAAGUCCUAGUAGGGAUAGCCCAGCUCCUCGAAAGUAUGAUGACAGCCCUGCUGAAGCUAAUGGUGGAAGCCGAAGCCCGAGUCCCAAGUACCGGAGGAACCAUGCAGAUGAUAAGGAUGAGGAUGAAGGUGAGUUUCAUAAUCAGCCAAUCACCUUGAAACUUGGUGGAAUCUUUCUGAAUGCAUUUUGUGGACAUUUUGUCAAGGCUGGAACUUGUGAGGACUAAUGAGAUGUACUUGAAAGAAUUGACUUGCAUCUAUAUUUGGGAUUAUAUGUUAGUACAAUGCUUAGUAUUUGAUGAAUACUAGACUAGCCAUUGAGCAAUAUAAUACCUCUUCUAAAUGAAAUUACAAAGCCUUUGGUGAA